UACGUAGGGGGCAAGCGUUAUCCGGAAUUAUUGGGCGUAAAGAGCGCGCAGGUGGUUAAUUAAGUCUGAUGUGAAAGCCCACGGCUUAACCGUGGAGGGUCAUUGGAAACUGGUUGACUUGAGUGCAGAAGAGGGAAGUGGAAUUCCAUGUGUAGCGGUGAAAUGCGUAGAGAUAUGGAGGAACACCGGUGGCGAAGGCGGCCUGCUGGACUGUGACUGACGUUGAGGCCCGAAGGCGUGGGGAGCAAACAGG
This 253-nucleotide ribosomal RNA is filed under the name uncultured Turicibacter sp. RNAcentral describes it as "partial 16S ribosomal RNA". It matches the Rfam family "Bacterial small subunit ribosomal RNA", at positions 524 to 776 of the family's 1533-position model. The record is from RNAcentral. Lineage: Bacteria; Bacillati; Bacillota; Erysipelotrichia; Erysipelotrichales; Turicibacteraceae.